UCAGGCUGCGGCACCAAGCAAUCGACGGAGAUGGAAAAGGCAAGAGUUCCACUGUUUUUCUAUGUUGGGGUCCAAGAAGUUCCCAACCUUUUCCUUUUUUAAUUUACCUUUUUUUAUAAAAAAAUGUUUAUGCUGAUUUUUUUGCUUACAAGAUGGUCUUAAAGAGCAUGAGUUGUGUCUUUUUCCGUAAUAAUCACUUCAAUACCAUGUUUAAGGUCAGUAGUUGCACUUUUCUUUUUGUAUAUGUGUUCUCAUAUAUUGAAAACUGAUUGUAUCUAUUUAUGAAUUAGAUGAGAAAAACUUCCUUUGGUCCUUAGCUUUUGUGAUAUAUUGCCUCUAAAUGUCUUAAGAAAAGUAUUUAUUGUUUUCAUACUUUUUUCUAGUUCAAGGGGGAGCCUUAUCUUUUGGCUACAGACCAAGGGUGCAUUAAUCAACCUGACUUGGUUGGGAGAAGCUAAAUGAGAUGGGUCAAUCGUGUAUGGUUUUGCUUUUGCAGACUGUGCUUCUUUAAAAUUUUGGAGGCUGAACAAAGAGACAAAGGAGAAGACCAAGACAAUUAUUGAUUGAUAAAUUCUAAACUUUUUUUUUUAUUUCACUUCAACUUUUUUUUAUGUCCAAUAUUAUG
Molecule: long non-coding RNA, 625 nt
Organism: Humulus lupulus (European hop)
Lineage: Eukaryota; Viridiplantae; Streptophyta; Magnoliopsida; Rosales; Cannabaceae
Exons: 3
Source: RefSeq, a predicted model, not a curated record